UNGGAACUCCUAAAGGAGAGCUUAAGUAAGC
RNAcentral lists this non-coding RNA (31 nucleotides) under Rattus norvegicus (Norway rat). Lineage: Eukaryota; Metazoa; Chordata; Mammalia; Rodentia; Muridae. The record is from RNAcentral.